AGGUACGCAGAAAACUGUUUUUCACGCCUCUCCGAGUGGCCAUGCUCAGGAACUCUGGCUGGCGUACCAUGUUUACGUUGUCGCGUAGGUGUGUGGUGUCCCGUUGCUCAACCCGUAUACGGAGAGCGAUGACGUGCAACUUGUUGCCAUAUCCGGUUCCGCCAACCCAUCACCGACAGAGAACGUGACGAGGCAUCUACGGGGGAGCGCGACUCCACCUCAGAGUUCGUGCGCGUAUACUCUUCAAGCACGCCACCUCGGAGACCCAAGUGACGUGGACAUCGAUAUGCCGAGCGUCCUGGCAGUCGCUCGACUCCAGCAAGCCUGAGCACGCCUCCUAGCCACAUCCUCUGUUCAACACGCGGCGCACACCUGAGCAUUCGGCGACUCUCGCCAUUCACCACCUCGAAUAAUCACCA
Molecule: long non-coding RNA, 419 nt
Organism: Rhipicephalus microplus (southern cattle tick)
Lineage: Eukaryota; Metazoa; Arthropoda; Arachnida; Ixodida; Ixodidae
Source: RefSeq, a predicted model, not a curated record